This 686-nucleotide ribosomal RNA is filed under the name uncultured Actinomycetes bacterium. RNAcentral's name for it is "bacterial SSU rRNA". It matches the Rfam family "Bacterial small subunit ribosomal RNA", at positions 66 to 763 of the family's 1533-position model. The record is from RNAcentral. Lineage: Bacteria; Bacillati; Actinomycetota; Actinomycetes.
ACGGAAAGGCCCUGCUUUUGUGGGGUGCUCGAGUGGCGAACGGGUGAGUAACACGUGAGUAACCUGCCCUUGACUUUGGGAUAACUUCAGGAAACUGGGGCUAAUACCGGAUAGGAGCUCCUGCUGCAUGGUGGGGGUUGGAAAGUUUCGGCGGUUGGGGAUGGACUCGCGGCUUAUCAGCUUGUUGGUGGGGUAGUGGCUUACCAAGGCUUUGACGGGUAGCCGGCCUGAGAGGGUGACCGGCCACAUUGGGACUGAGAUACGGCCCAGACUCCUACGGGAGGCAGCAGUGGGGAAUAUUGCACAAUGGGCGGAAGCCUGAUGCAGCAACGCCGCGUGCGGGAUGACGGCCUUCGGGUUGUAAACCGCUUUCGCCUGUGACGAAGCGUGAGUGACGGUAAUGGGUAAAGAAGCACCGGCUAACUACGUGCCAGCAGCCGCGGUGAUACGUAGGGUGCGAGCGUUGUCCGGAUUUAUUGGGCGUAAAGGGCUCGUAGGUGGUUGAUCGCGUCGGAAGUGUAAUCUUGGGGCUUAACCCUGAGCGUGCUUUCGAUACGGGUUGACUUGAGGAAGGUAGGGGAGAAUGGAAUUCCUGGUGGAGCGGUGGAAUGCGCAGAUAUCAGGAGGAACACCAGUGGCGAAGGCGGUUCUCUGGGCCUUUCCUGACGCUGAGGAGCGAAAGCGUG